GACGAACGCUGGCGGCGUGCUUAACACAUGCAAGUCGAACGGUAAGGCCCCAGCUUGCUGGGGUACACGAGUGGCGAACGGGUGAGUAACACGUGGGUGACCUGCCCCGCACUUCGGGAUAAGCCUGGGAAACUGGGUCUAAUACCGGAUAGGACCGCACCGUGAGGGUGUGGUGGAAAGUUUUUCGGUGUGGGAUGGGCCCGCGGCCUAUCAGCUUGUUGGUGGGGUAAUGGCCUACCAAGGCGGCGACGGGUAGCCGGCCUGAGAGGGUGGACGGCCACAUUGGGACUGAGACACGGACCAGACUCCUACGGGAGGCAGCAGUGGGGAAUAUUGCACAAUGGGCGGAAGCCUGAUGCAGCGACGCCGCGUGGGGGAUGACGGCCUUCGGGUUGUAAACUCCUUUCACCAUCGACGAAGGUUUUCUGACGGUAGAUGGAGAAGAAGCACCGGCUAACUACGUG
Molecule: ribosomal RNA, 464 nt
Filed under: uncultured bacterium
Lineage: Bacteria
Description: partial 16S ribosomal RNA
Rfam family: Bacterial small subunit ribosomal RNA
Source: RNAcentral